AUUCCUUACAGCCCAUAGAUUCAGGGUUACACUGAGAGCACCUGUUUCCAGGUGGGAAGAGCUGAACCUCAUCCAAGUGGAGGGAGAUGCCCUCUCCUCGUCCCUCUCCCCACCCUCCUACAGGCUGGGAGACUCUAUUUGCUGCUCAUCCCCAUGGGCCUUGAGUUCUUAAAGAAACCGCUUCCCCAGGACUCCCAAUUCUGCUGUCCAAGAGAGGGGUGUUUCAGGGGUUCAUCCAGAUCAUAACCAAAAGUCACUCAAUGGGCCCUAAAAACCAUGCUGACUGGGUAUGCUGACCAUGCCCAAGGUAUAAAGUAGGUAACAGGCUUUGGAGUCUGCAGAUUAAGUGUUUACAGAGGAACUACGACGUCUGGGAUUUGCUUCCAAACCGUCCACGGGGGCACGUGUUGAUGGGAGCAAAUUGGAUGAGCUGAUCGUUUUCAAAGCCGAGCACUGGGGAUGUGGGAACUCAGCCAGAGUUGAGGAACGUUAUCCGGCAGAGGAAGGCAAGGCACAGACAGUGGGCAUCAAGAGAGAGCUGGGAGCCCGUGCCCAGCCCCGCCGAC
Molecule: long non-coding RNA, 566 nt
Organism: Bos taurus (domestic cattle)
Lineage: Eukaryota; Metazoa; Chordata; Mammalia; Artiodactyla; Bovidae
Source: Ensembl